UACUCCUACGGGAGGCAGCAGUGGGGAAUAUUGCACAAUGGAGGAAACUCUGAUGCAGCGACGCCGCGUGAGCGAAGAAGUAUUUCGGUAUGUAAAGCUCUAUCAGCAGGGAAGAUAAUGACGGUACCUGACUAAGAAGCUCCGGCUAAAUACGUGCCAGCAGCCGCGGUAAU
Molecule: ribosomal RNA, 173 nt
Filed under: uncultured bacterium
Lineage: Bacteria
Description: partial 16S ribosomal RNA
Rfam family: Bacterial small subunit ribosomal RNA
Source: RNAcentral